AGCCUAAAGAUUUGGCUUGGAUUGGGUUCGUUUUUUUCGCCCAAAGAUUAUUAUGCACGACUUCAUACCUAAAAACAAGAAACCCCAACAAUUAGAAAAAAAACAUGAAAUUCAUGCUCUUGAACUCUCACAAACAAUCUUACAAUGAGCAACUCUCAACUCUUAACUCGCUGACUUAGAGAUGAUGAAGAUGAUGCGGGCAACGAUUGCUGCUUUUUCUUCUUCUUUGAAGGUUAGUUAUGGAAGCAGCAACACCAGAGAUGAAAGGAGAAUGAAAAUUGUGGAGAUGGGUGGUGCUCAAGAGCUCGUGAAUAUGUUGGGGGUUGCUAAAGAUGACAACACAAGGAAUGAGGCUUUGAAAGCUCUUACCGCUCCAUCACCCUCAGGUCCAGACAUUUUCAUUCACAGUUGGUACUACAUGAAUCUAUGUUUAUACCUUGAAAUUUUGUUAAUUUUAUAGAAUAGGUGUAUCAACUUAAAUUCCGGGAUGCUAAAGAUAAGUAUCUUACAUUACUAUAUUUCCUUAUUUUCCUCCCA
Malus domestica (apple) is the source of this 537-nucleotide long non-coding RNA. RefSeq lists it as uncharacterized. The record is from RefSeq and is a predicted model, not a curated record. Lineage: Eukaryota; Viridiplantae; Streptophyta; Magnoliopsida; Rosales; Rosaceae.